GCUGAUGUAGCUCAGUCGGUAGAGCGCAUCCUUGGUAAGGAUGAGGUCGCCGGUUCGAUUCCGGCCAUCAGCUCCA
Molecule: transfer RNA, 76 nt
Filed under: Clostridia bacterium
Lineage: Bacteria; Bacillati; Bacillota; Clostridia
Description: tRNA-Thr
Rfam family: tRNA
About the family: Transfer RNA (tRNA) molecules are approximately 80 nucleotides in length. Their secondary structure includes four short double-helical elements and three loops (D, anti-codon, and T loops).
Source: RNAcentral